CACGUAGGGGGCAAGCGUUGUCCGGAUUCAUUGGGCGUAAAGGGCUCGUAGGCGGUUUGUCGCGUCGGGAGUGAAAACACCGGGCUUAACUCGGUGCUUGCUUUCGAUACGGGCAGACUUGAGGUAUGCAGGGGAGAAUGGAAUUCCUGGUGUAGCGGUGAAAUGCGCAGAUACCAGGAGGAACACCGGUGGCGAAGGCGGUUCUCUGGGCAUUACCUGACGCUGAGGAGCGAAAGUGUGGGGAGCGAACAGG
RNAcentral lists this unclassified non-coding RNA (253 nucleotides) under uncultured Nocardioidaceae bacterium. RNAcentral describes it as "contains 16S-23S intergenic spacer region". It matches the Rfam family "Bacterial small subunit ribosomal RNA", at positions 524 to 776 of the family's 1533-position model. The record is from RNAcentral. Lineage: Bacteria; Bacillati; Actinomycetota; Actinomycetes; Propionibacteriales; Nocardioidaceae.